ACUACGGGUGGCAGCAGUGGGGAAUAUUGGGCAAUGGGCGCAAGCCUGACCCAGCAACGCCGCGUGAAGGAAGAAGGCCCUCGGGUUGUAAACUUCUUUUGUCAGGGACGAAACAAAUGACGGUACCUGACGAAUAAGCCACGGCUAACUACGUGCCAGCAGCCGCGGUAAGACGUAGGUGGCAAGCGUCAUCCGGAUUUACUGGGUGUAAAGGGCGUGUAGGCGGGAGAGCAAGUCAGAUGUGAAAUUCCAGGGCUCAACCCUGGAACUGGAUUUGAAACUGUUUUUCUUGAGUGAUGGGGAGGCAGGCGGAAUUCCGUGUGUAGCGGUGAAAUGCGUAGAUAUACGGAGGAACACCAGUGGCGAAGGCGGCCUGCUGGACAUUAACUGACGCUGAGGCGCGAAAGCGUGGGGAGCAAACAGGAUUAGAUACCCGAGUAGUC
RNAcentral lists this ribosomal RNA (443 nucleotides) under uncultured bacterium. Its description in RNAcentral is "partial 16S ribosomal RNA". It matches the Rfam family "Bacterial small subunit ribosomal RNA", at positions 338 to 795 of the family's 1533-position model. The record is from RNAcentral.